UGUCUCCACUAAUGAGCGGAGAGGGGUAAAACCUUCAAAGUAAAUUUUGUGGAUCAAGGUAUAGUGAUUAAUUGGAGUUCUAGUUCGUUUACUUUGAGAAAAUUAGAGUGUUUAAAGCAGCCUCUUGGGGCACUGAAUACAUUAGCAUGGGAUAAUAAAAUAGGAUCUUCACAAUAUAUUUUAUUGGUUUAAAUUGGAUAUGAAGAUAAUGAUUAAUAGGGACAGUUGGGGGUAUUCAUAUUGGGUGGUUAGCGGUGAAAUGCUCGGAUCCAUUCAAGAUGAACUAAAGCGAAAGCAUUUACCAAGGAUGUUUUCAUUAAUCAAGAACGAAAGUUAAGGGAUCGAAGACGAUUAGAUACCGUCGUAGUCUUAACUAUAAACUAUGCCGACCAGGGAUAUGAGUUGCUACGAAUAUACGCAAGUAUAUUCAAUUUCUUCUUAUGGACCUUGUGAGAAAUCAUAAGUUUUU
Molecule: ribosomal RNA, 469 nt
Filed under: uncultured eukaryote
Lineage: Eukaryota
Description: bacterial SSU rRNA
Rfam family: Eukaryotic small subunit ribosomal RNA
Source: RNAcentral